Molecule: ribosomal RNA, 174 nt
Filed under: Bacillota bacterium
Lineage: Bacteria; Bacillati; Bacillota
Source: RNAcentral
UCUGGUGACAAUAGCGGAGGGGCAACACCUGGCAACGACGAACAGGACGUUCUAGUGUCCGAAGGGGCACAGGAUGUGCCGAUUCCGAGGACCAUCCCGAACCCAGCAGUUAAGCCCUCCAGCGGUGAUGGUACUGCCGGGGUAACCCGGUGGGAGAGUAGUUAGUUGCCAGAA